Molecule: ribosomal RNA, 451 nt
Filed under: uncultured bacterium
Lineage: Bacteria
Description: bacterial SSU rRNA
Rfam family: Bacterial small subunit ribosomal RNA
Source: RNAcentral
AAUCAACGCUGGCGGCGUGCCUAACACAUGCAAGUCGAACGAGAAAGGGGACUUCGGUCCCUGAGUACAGUGGCGCACGGGUGAGUAACACGUGACUUAUCUACCCUCGAGUGGGGAAUAACUUCGGGAAACCGAGGCUAAUACCGCAUAAUACCCACGGGUCAAAGAGCAAUUCGCUUGAGGAGGAGGUCGCGGCCCGAUUAGUUAGUUGGCGGGGUAAUGGCCCCCACCAAGACGGUGAUCGGUAUCCGGCCUGAGAGGGCGCACGGACACACUGGAACUGAAACACGGUCCAGACUCCUACGGGAGGCAGCAGUGGGGAAUUUUGCGCAAUGGGGGAAACCCUGACGCAGCAACGCCGCGUGGAGGAUGAAGUCUCUUGGGACGUAAACUCCUUUCGAUCGGGACGAUUAUGGCGGUACCGGAAGAAGAAGCCCCGGCUAACUUCGUG